This 1534-nucleotide ribosomal RNA is filed under the name uncultured Prevotella sp. RNAcentral's name for it is "bacterial SSU rRNA". It matches the Rfam family "Bacterial small subunit ribosomal RNA". Lineage: Bacteria; Pseudomonadati; Bacteroidota; Bacteroidia; Bacteroidales; Prevotellaceae. The record is from RNAcentral.
GAGUUUGAUYCUGGCUCAGGAUGAACGCUAGCUACAGGCUUAACACAUGCAAGUCGAGGGGAAACGGCAUUUAGUGCUUGCACCGAAUGGACGUCGACCGGCGCACGGGUGAGUAACGCGUAUCCAACCUUCCCAUAACUAAGGGAUAACCUGCCGAAAGGCAGACUAAUACCUUAUGUAAUCCUUUGAUGGCAUCAGAUAAGGAUAAAAGAUUUAUCGGUUAUGGAUGGGGAUGCGUCUGAUUAGCUUGUUGGCGGGGUAACGGCCCACCAAGGCAACGAUCAGUAGGGGUUCUGAGAGGAAGGUCCCCCACAUUGGAACUGAGACACGGUCCAAACUCCUACGGGAGGCAGCAGUGAGGAAUAUUGGUCAAUGGACGGAAGUCUGAACCAGCCAAGUAGCGUGCAGGAUGACGGCCCUAUGGGUUGUAAACUGCUUUUGUAUGGGGAUAAAGUCAAUCACGUGUGAUUGUUUGUAGGUACCAUACGAAUAAGGACCGGCUAAUUCCGUGCCAGCAGCCGCGGUAAUACGGAAGGUCCGGGCGUUAUCCGGAUUUAUUGGGUUUAAAGGGAGCGUAGGCUGGAGAUUAAGUGUGUUGUGAAAUGUAGACGCUCAACGUCUGACUUGCAGCGCAUACUGGUUUCCUUGAGUACGCACAACGUUGGCGGAAUUCGUCGUGUAGCGGUGAAAUGCUUAGAUAUGACGAAGAACUCCGAUUGCGAAGGCAGCUGACGGGAGCGCAACUGACGCUGAAGCUCGAAGGUGCGGGUAUCGAACAGGAUUAGAUACCCUGGUAGUCCGCACAGUAAACGAUGGAUGCCCGCUGUUGGUACCUGGUAUCAGCGGCUAAGCGAAAGCAUUAAGCAUCCCACCUGGGGAGUACGCCGGCAACGGUGAAACUCAAAGGAAUUGACGGGGGCCCGCACAAGCGGAGGAACAUGUGGUUUAAUUCGAUGAUACGCGAGGAACCUUACCCGGGCUUGAAUUGCAGAGGAAGGAUUUAGAGAUAAUGACGCCCUUCGGGGUCUCUGUGAAGGUGCUGCAUGGUUGUCGUCAGCUCGUGCCGUGAGGUGUCGGCUUAAGUGCCAUAACGAGCGCAACCCUUGUCAUUAGUUGCCAUCAUUAAGUUGGGCACUCUAAUGAGACUGCCGGUGACAAGCCGGAGGAAGGUGGGGAUGACGUCAAGUCCUCAUGGCCCUUAUGACCAGGGCUUCACACGUCAUACAAUGGUCGGUACAGAGGGUAGCCAAGCCGCGAGGUGGAGCCAAUCUCACAAAACCGAUCGUAGUCCGGAUUGCACUCUGCAACUCGAGUGCAUGAAGUCGGAAUCGCUAGUAAUCGCAGGUCAGCAUACUGCGGUGAAUACGUUCCCGGGUCUUGUACACACCGCCCGUCACACCAUGGGAGUGGGGGAUACCAGAAGUAGGUAGGGUAACCGCAAGGAGCCCGCUUACCACGGUAUGCUUCAUGACUGGGGUGAAGUCGUAACAAGGUAGCCGUAGGGGAACCUGCGGCUGGAUCACCUCCUAAGGGC